GUGUCAGCCGCCGCGGUAAUACGUAGGGGGCAAGCGUUAUCCGGAAUCACUGGGUGUAAAGGGUGCGUAGGCGGUUAUGCAAGUCAGAUGUGAAAUACCGAGGCUCAACUUCGGAACUGCAUUUGAAACUGUGUGACUAGAGUACAGGAGAGGUAAGUGGAAUUCCUAGUGUAGCGGUGAAAUGCGUAGAUAUUAGGAAGAACACCAGUGGCGAAGGCGACUUACUGGACUGAAACUGACGCUGAGGCACGAAAGCGUGGGGAGCAAACAGGAUUAGAUACCCUCGUAGUCC
Molecule: ribosomal RNA, 292 nt
Filed under: uncultured bacterium
Lineage: Bacteria
Description: partial 16S ribosomal RNA
Rfam family: Bacterial small subunit ribosomal RNA
Source: RNAcentral